AUAAUUUUUAAAGGUUCUCCUAACGAUCCUCAAUAGGAUUUUCGGGUCUUUCGUCUUACGUUCCUUUUAGUUCUAUAUUUUAUGGGUUCUUAGUUUCUGAUAGCAGUUGGACUUUGUUGAGUGUUCCUACUUCUUCAGUUUUGGGUAGGUAUGCCUUGCUUAUUGUUCAAGGUUGUUUUGGUUCAAUGUCUUAG
Molecule: long non-coding RNA, 194 nt
Organism: Populus euphratica (Euphrates poplar)
Lineage: Eukaryota; Viridiplantae; Streptophyta; Magnoliopsida; Malpighiales; Salicaceae
Exons: 3
Source: RefSeq, a predicted model, not a curated record